Long non-coding RNA from Ictidomys tridecemlineatus (thirteen-lined ground squirrel), 715 nucleotides. RefSeq lists it as uncharacterized. The record is from RefSeq and is a predicted model, not a curated record. NCBI's taxonomy places the organism in Eukaryota, Metazoa, Chordata, Mammalia, Rodentia, Sciuridae.
GGCGGUGUUCUGCUCUCCACGGAAUUGCAGCGCGGGAGGAGACUAUUCCUGUGCAAUGGAGAACCUCAUCCGAGCAAGACGGGUUCAAAUCCUGACUGCAAAUUGCAAACUGUGUGGCCUGGGCCAACUCUUUUGAGCUCUGCGAGCUGCUUUGUCGAGCGGUGCUAACAAUAGCCCUGCUUAACAGCCCGGGGCGGCUGACGCGCUGGGCGCCCGCAGGCAAGACCCGCCCCGGGCCCUCCCGCCCCGCGCAGAGGCCGGAGGGCCGGACUGGCUCGCAGAGGCCGCUUAUCAGACCCCGGGCUGGCGCCGGUUACGUAACUGGGCCGCUAAAGCUGUUUUACUUGUCGAUGGAACCCAAAUUAAAAGAGGAAAUUAUUCUCCUGAUGCUCAACUCGCCUAAUCCCCAUCUGUCGCUCCGCUGGUCCCCCGCGCUCGCAUCGAAAGGAAUCCAUCUUUCAAGCUUGCCCCCCCCCCCAGAUCUGCAGAGAGAUGUUAUGACACCAUUGUGCAUUCAGGAAUAGUAAAGAAAUUGGAAACAACACGUCUGUCAACCGGGGAGUCAUCAAAUUGAGGGGAACAUGGACAUUCUGGAAUUCUGCGUAGCUGAUUUUUAACAAUGGGGGUAGAUCAAGAUGUAGUGAUGUGGAUUAGAUUGUUUAGAAAAUUCUUUUUAAAAAAGCAAGCCUCCGAAAUAAAUAUACAGGAUACGGUU